GCUAUACAUGCAGUCGAGCGAACAGAUAAGGAGCUUGCUCCUUUGACGUUAGCGGCGGACGGGUGAGUAACACGUGGGUAACCUACCUAUAAGACUGGAAUAACUUCGGGAAACCGAAGCUAAUGCCGGAUAACAUGUAGAACCGCAUGGUUCUACAGUGAAAGAUGGCUUUGCUAUCACUUAUAGAUGGACCCGCGCCGUAUUAGCUAGUUGGUAAGGUAACGGCUUACCAAGGCAACGAUACGUAGCCGACCUGAGAGGGUGAUCGGCCACACUGGAACUGAGACACGGUCCAGACUCCUACGGGAGGCAGCAGUAGGGAAUCUUCCGCAAUGGGCGAAAGCCUGACGGAGCAACGCCGCGUGAGUGAUGAAGGUCUUCGGAUCGUAAAGCUCUGUUAUUAGGGAAGAACAAGUGCGUAAGUAACUGUGCGCACCUUGACGGUACCUAAUCAGAAAGCCACGGCUAACUACGUGCCAGCAGCCGCGGUAAUACGUAGGUGGCAAGCGUUAUCCGGAAUUAUUGGGCGUAAAGCGCGCGUAGGCGGUUUCUUAAGUCUGAUGUGAAAGCCCACGGCUCAACCGUGGAGGGUCAUUGGAAACUGGGAGACUUGAGUGCAGAAGAGGAAAGUGGAAUUCCAUGUGUAGCGGUGAAAUGCGCAGAGAUAUGGAGGAACACCAGUGGCGAAGGCGACUUUCUGGUCUGUAACUGACGCUGAUGUGCGAAAGCGUGGGGAUCAA
Molecule: ribosomal RNA, 740 nt
Filed under: Staphylococcus kloosii
Lineage: Bacteria; Bacillati; Bacillota; Bacilli; Caryophanales; Staphylococcaceae
Description: bacterial SSU rRNA
Rfam family: Bacterial small subunit ribosomal RNA
Source: RNAcentral